AGCAUGAGAUAAUGAGUCAGACACUUACUGUAAUAAGUGAAGUGUGGUCUCAAUGAGUAGCAUGACGGGAACUGCGAUAAAGUACUCUAAUGUAAAGGGGACAAUGGAGUAUGAACCAAUGGAAAUGUUUUAAACUAUUUUUGUGGAAGUUCAACAUUUUUCUUUCAGUCAACUAUUAGUAAAUAUUUGUAAAGCAAAACAUUUCAGCUAUGGUGUAGUUAAAGUCUUAAGGUCUUACAAAAAUCAAAAAAUGAUUAUGUGUAUAGAAUAAACUUGGCAUUUACAAAACUUCUUGCAAAUGGUUUUGAAUUGAGAGACUUGCCAGGGUUUAUUUUGUUGUUUUUCUGAACAGUUAAUUUCAAUAAACUGGUGUUUUCUUAUCAAACCUAGAGGUUUGAUUCUUUAUCAAGAUAGUGUGAAUCUGAAAUUUAGGUCCACCUCCCAAAACAAAGUAUAUAAACAAUAUAAAAUCAAUGAACCACAUAAUGUGACCGUUAGAAUUCCAUAAUGCUUUAUUUUUAUCAGCACUUCUACUUUGAGGUCAUUUAGAGACUACUACAAUACUGAUUAUUUUAACUUCUGAAUCAUCUGUAUUCCUGAUUAUUCUUAUAAGCAGUGCAUUUUGAGAUGUUUGGGGUGUCUUUAACAUUGUUGAAAAUAUUACUGUAAAAAGCCAUUUUCUGAAUCAUCAGAUGAGCAGUUAACAUUUAGCAAAAAAUCCAUUCCAGCUUUAUGUAGUUCUGACUAAAUUCUAAACUUCUGAAAUAAUCUCCUCAAAAUAAUCUCUUUUAGUUAAAGAUUUCGUGUAGAACACAAAUAAUGGGCCUUCCAGGAAAAAAAAAAAGAAAAAAAAGGCAAACAUGAAAACUAUUACUUUCCAAGAAGAAACUAUUUUUAUUCCAGGGACUGGUACACACAUUCAUUAGAAAAUAUGGCAAUAGUUUGACCUUCCUAAAAUGAAAUCAGUGGCACAUAACAUUGACUUUUUUACACAGUCAACUAAGUCAUCAGCUUUAGCAGGUCUGUCAGUAAGAAGAGGUGCAUCAGGGUAAAAAAUGUUUGAUUUUUUUUUUCCUGUUUUUCCUCAUUGAGAAAACAUUGUACUAGAGAGUCAAAGGUGAAAGUGGAAAAAAAUAGAAAGCAUAGGUCUUGACUUGUCGAAGUGACUUCAGUACUUUAGGAGAAUCACAAUGCCUUUAAGCAAGUAUUUUAGGGUCACCACGGUCUACCACAGCACAAUAGUUCGUGGGUGGCCAUGGGAAUGACUGUAAGUACACUAUAUACUGAAGCAAAUAUACCUGUUCUUGAAUGUAUCUUCUGUGUAAGCCUUAGCAUAUUCUGUAAAGCUAUGUGGUUCAGAAGUCAUUCUAUACAUAACAGUACUACAAAUAAGAACAUCUUAAAAUAUUUGGUAAUCCUUCAGCCUGUGUGCCUGCCAGAAUUGAGGGCAAGCUCGGUCUUCUUUCCUCUUGCAGUUUGCUCAGAUUUUUCUUUAUGACAGAACACAGGAAAUCUGUCACAUUUUUUAUUGUGUGUUUCUCUGCAUAAGACAUGUUAGUGACUUCUGUGCUUUAUUGUUUUGAUAUGAGUAGCUUAAACUCAGCAAGAGCUGUCUAUGGAUGUGUGCGGUUGGAAGGUUGCCUGAGAGAGGCAUAUAAUUACUUACUUUUAAGAUGUAGGUUAAUUAUUACAGAUUUCCUGGUAACUGUUAAACUCAUAGUUAUAAACACUUGUAUGUAUUCUCAGGAAAUAUUAUUUUCCCCUCUUUUGCUCAAGAAUUAAAAGCUUCAAGAGCAAUGGCAGUAGGGAAUGAACAUGUUAUUUUUAAGCAUCUGUGUGAUCAUGCACAAACAAACAUGCACAAGCAUUUAAUUUUGAACAUGCAUUUUCCAGUUAUUGCCCUACAAAACAAAAUCCUAUAGAUUAUGUCUAAACUACCAGGUAGACCGAAAUUUUCAAGAUCUUUAACAAAACACUAUUUGUUCUUUCUCUGCAACUUCAGUUCAGUGAGAGUUCAAGUGAAAGCUUCUGGAGAGGUUCUUAGGUGAGUGAAUCAUAAGGAUUCAAUCUUUUUAAAGCCUCUGGAAGAACUGUGAAGAAAUAUCAAAGCAGCAUGACCCUGCAAAAAGUCCAUAUGUACAUAACGGAAACAUAUUGUAGUGCUAUAUAUCACUUGGCUUUAUUAAGCCAUUUUUUUAAACUUUCUACAAGAAUACAGGAACAGGAAAAAAAAGUUACCUUUCAUGGGGUAUGAGAGGGAAACGGGAGGCAAAGAAAGAAACCAUGUGGUUCUGGAGUUGUAGUGAGGUUUGUUUUUUAUUGCAUGUAAAUAUUUCCAUUGACAUUUGAAAAAUCUCAUAAUGAUUUACUGAGUUUUUCUGUAUCUCAAACAUUUUGGGUUACAAUCUCUUUUGAGCUAUCCUUACUUUGUAUGAAGGGAGAGAAAGGAAAGGAAUUUGAAAACACUGACAUAAAGAAGAAAUAAAAAAAAUAUUUCUAUGUCUUGUCUAGUGUUGAAAAAAAGUCCCAAUGUUUUUUGUGUAUAUUUCAUCUUUAUUUUGGACAUAUAAUAUUGAGCAAGUGAAAGAUUUUUUUUUUUUCUUUUUUCUCUAUUGGAUGUCUUUUAACACCUGGUCCACCCAGAAAAAUCUCAUUAAAUUCCACCUCAUUGCUGAUUUUUAUUGCAUGGAACUAGUAUGUGUUUAAAAAAAGUUUGGGUGACCUAAGCCUUCCAACAACCAAAUAUAAUGAACUGAUUUCACUGCAAAUUUGUUCUGAGAACAUAGAAUACUUUAACAACUGCAGUCUUGGGAGUAGCAGAACAGUCACAAACAUCUUUUCCUGAUACUUUUGACAAAGAAAAAAUAUUAAGGGUUUCGGAGGGCAACAACAAGGAAUUCUGCAGAAUUAUUUUCUACUUUGACAAGAAUCCAGCUAGUCAGAGUAGGAAAGGAGACUUUGUCUAACUAAAAUAGAUCUCCAAGGCAGAGGAGUACAGCUAGCAAUUCUGCUUCCUGCCAUGCUCAGUGCCCUUUAGGCUAACAAACUAGAGGUUUUGGGACACUAAAGUGGCAGACAAGUUAUCAGAAAAGGUGGAGGAAGUAUUUUUUCUGGUUUUAUGCUGAAUGAAAAACUGCUUUACAAAACGUAUGUUGUGACUGCUUUUUUUCCCAAUUGUGUGGCACUAAAGUUAAUUUACUAGAGUAAUAUACAGUGGCAGGGCUGGCAUCAAAGUGGUUCAUUCCGGUUAGAGGUAAUUGUUGCAGACCAGUCCUUUCCAACUCCAUCCUUUCUGCUGGGAGCUGCUCUACCACCGCUUGCUGUGAGAGAAGCUCUUCUUCCCACUGCUGUCUCUCAGGUCUAGACAAGAAGGUCCCAUUUCCAAGAUGAGCAUACUUCUUGUACUAACUCUGUGGAUGCCUCUUCAACCAAUUAUUUAAAUAUUCAUUUAGCAUCUCACCGCUGCAUAAUAGCAACUAGAUUUUAUGAUGAAAUAUAUAUGAAGACUGAAAAACGGACUGCUGUCUAUGCUCACAUUUUCUUGAUCAUUGUUUUGAUGGCUGUCUCUUAGUAUUCAAACUCUGUUUUUAUUUACACUGAUGGGAAUUCAGAGUGACUCUUCUGAGAUGCAUCAGGUAUAUACUGCUGAAACCGAUGGCAUGAUUUAGCUGAAAGUUUGAAAUAAUAUAUUUGGCUAGUUGGACUAUUGCAUGCUUUGUUAUUAGCUUAUUCUUUGUCUUCUUUGGAGUGCAUGUAGUGUAUAAUGAGGUGCAGAGGGAAGACAUGGCAACUAUUCUCAAGGGAUUUUAUGUAAAUAAGAAGUAUCAGUACUUUUCUCAGCAAUUUUAAGUUUCUGAGCAAAAUGUUAAAUUAAAAAAAAAAAAAAAAAAAGAGCUGAGGAAAUGGUGCAUAAAAUGUGCAUGAAUCAGGACCUAACUCUGUAAUCUAACACUUGGGGAACAAUUAAGGCAUUACAAAGUCUCAAGGCAUUUAUCUGUCAUUUUUACUGGGACAAGGGGAAUUAAAAAAUCUUAAUUAUACAUACCUAAUUAUGAAAAAUUCACAGAAUAUAAGUGCAGAUAAGGAAAGCUUCCUAGGACUAAUAAUGCUGCUUAUAAAAUACCACAAAGUUGAGAGAUUGGGAGAACCCCUGAUGGAAUCCUUCUCUAAUCUUCUAUAGGAAAGAGAAGGAAAAAUAAAACAGACUAUCACAAUUCUGCAAGCAGAAUUUUAAUAAAGAUAAAAGUCUCUCUAUAAUGGAAUCAAACACAAUAUACCUUUCUUCAAUUGUAGACAUUUAGAAGUGUUUGUAUAUGAAGUAUUCGUAUUUGUAAGGAAAAAUUUGCUACUGUGAAUUACAAUAUUUCUAUAAGACCCAGCACAAGAUCCUGCAUCAGCUGUAGUCAUAAUCUUAAGAAUUCAGAAAGGUUUUAGUUUUAUCUCAUCUGUAUAAUCCAGAAGGUCUUGGAGUUGAAAAUGUGGGAUCCUGAGUGGGAAUACACAUCUCAGGUUCCAGGAAUACUGAAGAAGAGGAAGACUACUGAGAAUACUGACUGGUGGAUAGAAGAUGAAUUAAGCCAUCUUAUUAAGGCUACAAAACAUGGUUUUGAACAGUAAACAGCUGAGAAGAAUAGGGUGAAAUCCGGGUGUUGGUAUAAUGCUUCAAUUUUUAAUACAACAAAAGCUAGCUAAAAAUAUAAAUAUCUAUUAAAAUGGCAUGUGCCUUGGCAGUUCUCUGUUAAUGUAGAUGAUAUAGUUUUACCAUAAGCCUCAUUCCUUACUUCGUGAAUGACCAGAAAUCCUGAAUUCAGAAUUAAUGAGUUUGGGAUGUGUAUUUUUACCUUUGUGGUUUCAGGGAUGAGACUGAGGAAGAAACAUGUUGUCAGAACUAAGCCUCCGUUUAUUCCAAUCCAUUAUAGUCAGUUAAAUGAGGCAUUUGCACUAAGCACCUAACUCCAACUUCCCUAAUCAGAGGAGAGCAGGUGCCCUCCACAAGUCCCGCUUAGAUACUGGAGUGUCUCCACCGGCUGUGGGCAGAGCUUAAAACAACAUAGCUCCCCAGCCACGUAGGUUCAUGUUGGGCAUCUUACAAUAAGCUGACUCCAAUGGAUUUGUGGAAAUAAAAGUCAGAAAAGAGCUCUGAGUGACAGUACUUUCCCUAGACAUGUUUGGCUGGUGCUGGGUAUGCUCACUGUACUUGUGGAACCAAGAACACCACUGACCCUUGGCUGGGGACAUGUUGCCAACAGCUGGUGGGUGGCUGGGAGCAGGUCAGUCUGAGAAAGCCAAGUUUUUUGCCUGGGAACAGGCUGGGGUUUUGGGUUGAGUAAGCAGAAGCCAGCAAGGAAAGAGUACUGAUGCCCGGAAAGUCACUUAUUUAAGGAGUUUGUGGCUUGGUACACAAAAACACUUGAUUAAUUUGGCCAUUUUUUUUCCUGGCCCAGCAUGAUGCUGAGUAAGGUUUUUUAGUACAAACAUUGAAUUUGGAGGAAGAUUCAGCAGCUCAUACAUUUUUUACUUUUUUUUUUGAGGUGGAGGGAUUGACAAUGCAAUGAUUUACUACUCCUUUAUGCAUGCAGACUGUAGGAGCAUAUGGUUCUGAACGUCUUUAAGUUAAUUCACUGUGUCACCUAGACUCCAUUGCUCCUAUCGGAAAAAGCUAUUGAGCUUUUACCUGGCAGAAUUUAAAUGUGAAACACGUAAAAGACAUUUCUGGAAACACAUAAAAUACUUUUGUAGAUGAACUUUAAGUCUAGUAAGAUCUAUUUCAUAGCAUAUGUAACCAAGAACUAAAGGCCUUCUGAUAAAGAACUAAUUUAAGAAAUAAAAUUAUUACUUUUCCUAAAAGAAAUGGAUGAACAGUUAUCCUUACUGAGGUGGUCUGUGGUAUGAAAACUUUAUUACAUCAAACAAUAAUGAAGGGUCACAUUUAAGUCCACAACCAUUCUAAAUAGUGAUUCUGAAAAUUCAGGUUUAGUGAUGUCUUUGACAGAGAAAAUGUAAGAGUAGAAAAGAGAUGUAGCAGAGAGAUAAGCUAUUUAUUUUUAGUGACCAGUCAACAUGCUACAGAAUAUACCAUUCAUUAGAUCUGUCAGAAGUAGCAGCUUGGGUAAAUAAAUGGAAGGGAUUAGUAGAACCAUAUGAAAGGUAGAAAUGAUGAUAAUGUUGUAGAAAAAUGAUACACCAGUAUCUAAAAAUUGCCUUUUGCCAGUUGUAGAGCCUCUUUAACAUGUUUUGUUCUUGAAAUAAGAAGUUGCUUGAGUGUUGUUUUUUUGUUUGUUACAGUUUUGGGUGGUUUUUUUUUUGGUCUAAGUUGAUAUACAUGGUAACAACAUAUACAAGAUCAAAUUAUUUUUUUUUCUUUUUUUUUUUUUUUUUAAAGAAGAUGUGUACAAAAAUAUGCUGAUGCAGAGGUGUUAGAUGAGAAGAAUCUUGUGUCAAGUUGAUAUUGCUGGCCAUAAAAUAGCUAUAUUUGUUUCAUCUUUACAAUAAAUAGUUAAUGACUCUAAGUUGUCUGCACACCUGACACAGAACAGUGUUUGUGCUUGUUUAGAGAUAUGAUGACAAUGCAAGUAAUUAUCAUAGUAAUGACAGAUUAUUUUUUUUCCUAAUUAACUAAAUAAGGUUUAUUUUACCCAAAUACUGUACAGUAUCUUCAAAAAUAUUUAUUCAUAGAACAACAAACAGAUCUCAGGCCAAAUCCUAGUUAUUUUAUUCAAAAAAAUACGAUCUUAGUGCUUGAUGUUUCUUAAUUAAUCAACAUAUUGAAGUAUGUGCUUAAGUGAUCUUUAUUUAUUAGCAUAAUUAAGCUAUUUUUGUAGUGUUAUGAAGGCUAACACAUGUUUAGGAGCUCUGAGAAACAGAAAUGUUGUUAAUAGCUCAACACCUUAGUGAAAUACAUCAAGUAAUACCUUAUUCUAAGCACUGUCACAGGAAAAAAAUGUUCUCUGUGAUGCUCAUAAGUUGUAUGUAGUGACACCAAGAUUUCAUCUUGGUCACAGCAAGUGGCCACAUUAGGCCUUAUGCUAUGGAGGUGAGAGGCCAAGGUCUGUCAGCCUUUCCUCAGGAAAUGAGGCUUCAUGGACUGAGUUAGGCUGACGUGAUGGGGUGUAGAAUUUCUCCAUUAUACAUUGUAAAUUCUGUGGUGUUAGAUACAGAUCAUAGAAUAGUUUGGGUUGGAAGGGACCUUAAAGAUCAUCUAGUCCAACACCACUGCCAUGGGCAGGGCCACUUUCCACUAGAUCAGGUUGCACAAAGAACCAUCCAGCCUGGCCUGGGGACAUCCACAGCUUCUCAGGAAAGCCUAUUACAGUGUCUCACCACCCUCACAGUAAAGGAUUUCUUCCUAACAUCUAAUCUAAAUCUGCCCUCUUUCAGUUUAAAACCAUUACUUCUCAUCCCGUCACUACAUACAUAUGUGGGUAUGCCAGUUAGUUUUAAAAUUCUGCUUCAUUAUAUCCUAGUCAGGAUAUUAAAUAUCACUCAAUAGUUUAGAACUCUUUUUGUGUUGGAAAACAAUUUUAUAUCUAUGUACCAAAUAUAUAUUUUGGAAUGGAAAUACCUAGGUCUACUAAAAUGGCAAAGAAGAGGAAAAAAAUAAUUGCAUAAAAUAAAAAAUGAUUGCUGUUGUAUAGUUGCAGAGGUUUCAGGCCUCAGUAAUAUAAAAAAUUGAAUUUCCAUAUUUUUCUUGUACAGAUAGAUAGUUAUAAAAUCUGUUAUGACAUCAAACAGUGAUAAUACAGCACGGAGGAAGGGAAAUAUGUCAAUUAAAGUAAAUUCAGAGGUGACUGACUUGGGAAUCAGAAUAUAUUCUUGGAGAAAUGAAGACACUGUAUUCUGCAAUCAAGAUCAUAAGAUUAUAAAGAUCUUCUGAAAAAAAAAAAAAACAACACAUGGAUAUACAGAGUUAUUUCAAGAUGCCUUAAAGCCUUUCACUGUUUUCCUGGGGUUAUUGCCUAACCUGUCUGUUUUCGAAGUUCACAGAAUCACAGAAUGGUUGGGGUUGGAAGGGGCCUCUAGUGAUCAUCUAGUCCAACCCACCUGCUAAAGCAGGUUCACCUACAGCAGAUUGCACAGGAAUGUGUCCAGGUGGGGUUUGAAUGUUUCCAGAGAAGGAGACUCCCCAACUUCUCUGGGCAGCCUGUUCAGUGCUCUGGCACCUUCAAGGUAAAGAAAUUUUUCCUCAUUCAAACAUUAGUAACAUUGCAACAUUAUUACUAUAUUCCAUUACCAUAUUGUAAAUGCACCUGAAGAAUAUACUAGACAAAUUCUUUUUUGUGAACACAUAUGGCUCUUCUCGUAAGGGAAGCUCAACAGCACAAUUUAAGUACAUUGAAAUAGAAUCCUUAAAAUAUUACAUCUAUUCCCGUAUCUGGGUGCUCACAGUAAAAAGGCAAUAUCAACACAUCUCUAGAUAUCAGAAACAUGUUAAAUUCAGGUAAAUGUUUGAUCCAGUUAAAAAUGAACAGCAGUACGCUGCCAGCAGAAACCUGAAGUAGGAGUCAGCUGAAAUUUUAAAUCCCCAAACUGAGGUCUUGCAUAUCAGAAAUCAUGUUUUAAUUCUCAAUAUAGGCACAAAAUGUGGAAAAUGUGGAAAAUUCAGGAACAUUUAAAUAACAGGGUCCCAUAUAGUCUGCUGCAAAUCAAAGAAAGCUCAGAUGCAGGUGUGUGGCUAUGCACCUUUUGCUGAGGAAGACUGAAGAAAAGCUGCUUGCUCUGGCUCCUUACUAGAGGCUCCCUUGCUGCUGCAAUGAUUCUAAGGUAAAAUCCAACUCAUGUCUUGUUCCUUCACUGCCUCCUGUUCAAGUACGUGUGUAGGAACCUGAUCUCCAAUAUUUGAUAGAACACUUCUUUAGAUUAGGAAUUUUUAUGAGGGGCAAUUCCAUACGAUUAAGUCACCAGAAUGAUCUCGUAAGUGUAUAUCUGUCAGACACAUGAACAGGUUGUUUUUUUUUUAUUUAUUUUAACUGAAUGUUUUCGAAGCAUUAUAUUUUUUAUGCUUUAGUUACAACAUUUUUUUCUGGUGAGUGGUGUAAUUACUCUUUUUUUCUCUGUAUGUUUAGUAGUCACUGCGGUUGUGAGCUCCAAUCCCUGCCAGCUUCAAAUCAGGAGAGCCUUAUUAUAUUGAAAUCAGACCAGUGACCAUCCAUCAGAAAUAUUCUUUGACUUGAGAAUUUUGUCUAGCUUAAGGAUAUUUCCUGUAAUAUGGGAGUAAAAACCUAGCUGCUGUCAACACAAAAUUCAAUGAGUAUGAGUAUUAAACUUUUAAUUAUUCAGACUGAAGAAGAUUUUGAAAGUGGCAAGUGGGACACAGGCUUCAGUGGAACGUGUGGAAAAUUGUUGGGAUUUUUGUGUUCUUGCCUUUUUUUUGCAUACAUAUGUAUUUAUAUAUACAGCUCUGCAGUUCAAUAAAAUAUACAUGAACACUUAUGUUUCAAUUCAUAAAAUAAAACCAAAGAACCGAAAAGGACAUGAAAAAAUACUUAAGCUUUCAAAUAAAAAAAAAAUGCCCCAGAAGGUAGAGAAACAGAUACUUACUUAAGACAGAAAAAGGACCAGCAGUUAGAUCUGUGUAGCACAUGCACAUACCACAUACUCUACAAAUGUAAAUGGAAGACUGGGUUUGAUAUCCAGGAUUCCUUUCUUGUUUUCCAUCUCUGACCCAAGUCACAUACUGUGUUCUUUCAGUUUACCAAAUUGUGUCUGAAUGACUUCCCUCUGACCCGGUUUCCCAUCUAGAAAAUUGAAAGGGUGCUAAGCUACUGUUAAAGCAAUUGAAAUCUUACUUAGAAAAAUAAAGAAAUAACAACUAGAUAAUAUUUCUGUUUACAAUCUAGUAAUUUUUGUACUUUGCUGUUUUUUGCUACAAUCUCCUAUCAAAUACUCAAGAACUUUGAAAAUUUUCAUGUGUGUGUGUACACAUACGCAGGCACGUCGCAAGAAGAGCCAGAGGCCACAAAUGCAUUUGCAAAGAGCAAGUUUUAUUUUCGUUACCUCUCUACUGGGGCGAUCUCUGAAGUCCCACCUAAGCUUCCAGGCAGAGGUGACACAAGCGGGGAUGCAGGCACUGUGCGUUGGUGUGUUCCUGUGUACUGUAGUGAAAUCAUAACCUAGAAAAUUAUAAUGUUCUCCCGGCUUUGGAUUAUCUGUAGCAGUUCUCAGCUGAUUUGAGGAAAUGUUACAAAAGGAACAUGUUGGAGUCCCAGGCUUGUCUUCAUAGGCCAAUUAUAUCUCUUUGGUCAUGUAAUUUGAGAAUUGCUGAGAAGAAGCUCCUAUUGCUCUGGAGAGUAAGAAAGUUUCCAAUUUGCUCUACACAGUCUGCCAACUGUAUGAUGCAGAAGGUCUAAUUCCAAAUUGAAUGAAAGUUGGAAAAUAUUAUUUUGGUUUUACAGAAGACCAGACAGAGGAUGAUUAAGUGACUUGCCAAAAACUCACACUACAGAGCAGAACAGCAAACUGAACUGCAAAGCACAAAGGAGGCAAAGGAUUGCCUGAAGACAAAGAGUUGGAAGAGUCACCUUCCUCUUAGAGGAAUUCCAAGCUGUCAUCGAUGGGCCCGAGUUAAAAAAACUUUGGAAGACGACUCCAGAUACCAAACUCAUGUUUUCAGGCUGAGGUUAUUGCCUUAUUGAGCCUUGUCACCUUCUCCUUAGUCUUUAUCAGCACAUUUUUACGUUUUGUCUUCCAAAUACCAUAUCGUAUCUCAUUACCUUCCUGUUUCUCAGCCUUCUUCCUCAUCUCCUUCUUACAUCCACUUGUUUCCAGUUUUGUUCUACAAGGACAGUCACAUCACUCCACUGUUCACCUAUUGUUCAGUGUACUUCACAUGUAAAAGAUUAUUUUCUGAGAAGAGUAAUGCAGCGACCAACAUAUCUAAAGUGACUGACCAAUACGGAAUGGCUCUAUUACUUGUGUCUUAUUGAUUCAUACAUAGAUAAUUCAAGAAUUCUUAACCAGCUACUUUCAAGUCAAGAACACAUUAAAACUGGUGCAGUAGUUUUAUUUUCAUGGUCCACCUCUUGACUCCUGAUGUUUCUUCUACACUAUUUCUCUGGAUUAUCUCUUGGCAUCAAGGAUAAAUUUAAAUACUGGCUCUUUAGGGAAGACUUUUGGUCUUUUAUACUGCCAGCCACAGUUUUGAUUUCUGACUUAAAUAAAAUUGAGUAACACAGUAGUUACCACACAAGUGAUGGAGAGAUUGCAGUUGAAUGACUGACAUCAUGAUUCCAAAAUCUUACCUGUUCUCUUUGUUUAGCUGAAAAGAAACUUGAAACCUACUGAACACUUGAUGAUGACAAUGUUGACAAUGGUAAGGACUAGCAUUAGCAGUAGUCUUGUUAGUUGCUUGAGGGAUGUUUUGCCACUGUGAAUGGGAGGGAUGAUAAGGGCUGGCAAGAAAAUUAGUUCAGAAAACAGUUUUUCCAAGAUGUCAUAUGAGCUCUGAAAAAAAUGGGAGUUUUUCUGAGCUGCAUGCAUGGGUCAGAUAUUACCUCUCUUCUAUUAAAUUUGGUCUUUUACAUCUGACUAGCACUAGCACAAGAUGACUGAUAAUUAGUGGGCAAGUUUGCUUGUACCAGAGCCCGUAACACAGGAUUUUUUUGAAACUAAAUAAUAUGAAGAAUAAGACAGUCCCAGGCUAAUAAAAAUUAUAACAGAGAACAUGAGAAUCUAUAGGACAAAAUAACAAUUCUCCAUGUUAAUGAUAUGCAUGUUAAUGCAAGCAUGUUGGCACAAAACAACUUGCUACUCCACUAGUAUCAAAUUUUAUUUUAGGUCUAUGUCUCAGGAAAAAAAACUUUUUAAAACUUCUAUUUGUGGAAUUCAAAAUUUCGUCUUACCUAUAUCAAUCACAGUGAGGCUAGUAGUAGAUUAUACAUUAGGAAUAAAUACCAGGGUUCAGAUGUUGUUACAGAACCACUCAAGCCAGGUUCCUUUAGUUAAUGAUAUCAUAUGGACUCCACAAUGAUUAAGAAAAUAGUAAUACCUUAUUCCUCAUUCAUUACCUUACAGAUAAUAACCACAUAUUUGAUUACAUUUGAUUACGUUAUAAGCAACAUGCUUAAACUUAUAAUGUAUACCAAAAAAUAGCAGAGAAAAGAUUUCUGAAUGCGAUUAUGGUGUAAAAGAAGGUUCUGUUAAACAAAACAAAAAUACUUUAGUCAUAAAUUCUGGCAUUUUUUGUCAAAAGAAAGAAAGGAAAACCAACUUCCUGCCAAUGAAAUGAAAAAGAGGAAAAAAAAAAAAAAAGAAAAAGAAGGCUUAAUAUCUGAUAAAGGAAAAUACUACAGAAGCAGAUGUCCUGCUUCACCAUUUAUAAUACAUUUAUAAUACCCUAUUUCUUUUUCCUAGAGCAGCACAGAAAGAUUGCACUCUUUUGAAAAUUUUCUGUUUGCUUGCAGUAAGUGGCAGACCUGCUGAUUCACUAGUGCUGUUUUGGCUUUAUCUCCCAGUGUUUUUUCUCAAACAUGUCUGGAUAACUGUAGUGGUUUGUAUCUGAUUUUCUCUACUUGUUAUUCAAAUUAUUAACAGUUCUUGCACAGCAGAGGAGGGAGAAACUCCUGAGAGCUACACAUGGCCAUAGCUUCUUGAUAAACAAUUCUCUUAGUAUUUACACUUUCAAGACAUUUGUCUCACUUUGUCUGGAAUUUUCAAGGAGGCAAUAUCAUGGUGCGGUGUCAAGGGAAAAACAAAAACAAAACAUGAGACUUAAAAUGACAGAAAAUAAAAACCUGGAAAAAUGGUGGGAAACAACUGAAACUCCUUAGCUGAUAUUAAUUUUUAAAAGGGUGUUCAGUUAUCCUUUAAACUCUUCUGGUAUUUUGUGUCCACAAGUAACAUCAACAAUGUUUUUAUUGCAUGGUCUUCACAUUUGUCACUCUCCAUCAUACUAUUUAAACUACAAAGUAUACACAAAUCAAAAAAAUAUUUUCUUUAAAAGAUUCUCUGAAAUUUAGUGGUGUUGUUUUUGCUGGUAUUUGUGGUGGCUGGGCAAGUGUUGGAAAGUUAAAGACACGUUUUCCAUGGGGCAGCUGAGAAACAAGGCUAAGAAUAUCUACCAUGUUUGAAUGAGAUUAUUCCAUUAAUUCACAACCUUUCGGGUACUGCUUUUGAAAAACGGAUUUCACAAGGACUCACUGGCUAAAGUGAUAUUUUAACUGGAAAAGAACACCAUAGCAUGCCUUUCAUAGAAAAUACAGAUUGAGCUCUGACAUCUGUCAUUUGUGCGUGUAAUACUAUAUUUAUAUUGCAUGUGACAUUAUAGUAUCUAAGUACCAUCCAAGGAUUGAAAAUGCACAUUAUGUCUAUACCAGGAGCAUUUUAAUAACACAGAAUACCGGCUUACCAUUUCAAUAAAGCCAGAUGACAAAGGAAAGAGAAGGAGUUCUCAGAAUUAAUACAGUCCACGCAUCAUAACCAAAAUCCUUAAAUCCUUAGUGUAGUGGUAGAAGCCUGGUGUAAUGUUGUUGUUCCCUUCUUCUCCUGAAGAGUUAACAUAGUGAGAACUUCAAAAUGGAAAUGUUUUGUGGUUUAAAAAUGCUUUCAGCUAACAGAUAUACAGUUAGGCAAAACAUAGCUUACAGUAAAUUUGUAAGGUUGUUUAUAGGAAUAUGUUGUAUAUUACAAACCCUGCCAAUUCCAAUUAUUUCAUAUCUUUUCUUGGUUUGAUUAGUUUUAGCUAAGAGAUACCUGGAGUUGUAUAUCAACAGCACAGAAUUUGGUAGUUUCUUGUGAAGUCUUAGGCAGAGAGGUCCUAGUAGCAGAAUACAAAUUUCAUUAAAUGCCUGUUCUUUCUUAAGAGGAUGGAGCAGAGAUUUAGAGAGGAAAACUCACCAGUGUUUAAAAAUGAACAGUAUUAUAUGUUGCAUUUCUCCUGUAGAUUUCACUAUAUAUCUCCCAGUUUUCAUUUAAGCCCAUUUCUCUUCAGUGCUCACAGGUAUCUUCAGUGACUGGAAAUGUAUAAGGACCUAUGCUGCAAACCACAUAACUUAGUUUCAACAGUUUACAUAUGUAUACCUGAGGUAAGAGUUGUGAUAGCACUGAACCCUGAAAGAUCUUGUUUGUCAUUGGGAUGACGUGCUUAGCGUGCAAAAGUUGCCUAUCAUUAAUUUUUUGGGACAAUUUCAAAAGGAAUGAUUGAUGGUAAGCUCAGUAUUAGCCAGAACACAUUAUGUAUGCCACAUUCAGCAGUAUCCUGCAUGGAUGUCUGGGUUUUUUGCGCCAAGGUCACACUGGUAGCCAGUACGCUUCAGCUGAUGGACAGAGUUGAGCUAACAAACCAUAACAGUAUUAUGGAAAAAGUCUGAAGCCACCCUGGAAAGGAAAAAUAAUUUUUCUAGAAACUGCGCAUUGUUGGUAAGAGGCCAAAACUAUCAUCCAAGGAGUCCAAACAAUGAAAAGGUUAUAGAGUUAGGUGGGUUGACAACAGGAUACUCUUUUGAAUUUCUUGAGCAUGUGGGUGUACCUAUAUAAGCAGUUGAGUUUGAAUUCUUUUAAACAAGUCAUGGCAGCACAUGCACUCCAGGAGUAUGCCUAGUGUGUUCUAACUGCUAAUAGGCAUGCAGCUCACAAAACCUGAAUAGGGCUGAAAUAAAACUUCUUGUAGCACAAACAAUAUUGAUGCCUCAUUGUUAGCACAGUUGUUUUGCUCCACAGAUCUGUUUCAUUUGGCCAGCACUACUCACCAGUAUACACAUAGCCAGUGGCUUUUUCUACAUGUAGGAUAGCAGGCAGUUUAUUUCUGUAUAUGUUCACUAAAUGUAUGUCUAAUAGCUGGUAGACCUAGUUGCUACAGGUAAUUGAAAAUCUGCCAGGAACGCCUGCAUGUACACUGCAAUAACCUUUCCCAAGGACUUUCAGAAUUUUCUAGUUGUGGGACUGGCAAACGGUCUUUUGUAAGUGAUGCAAGAAAUUCUCAGGGCUUCAAUGAUGUUGUUGGAACAGUCCCUGAAACUGCCUGUAGCUUUGCCUGCACCUUUUUCUUAGAGAACUCUUUUUCCCUAAUUUCCCUUCUAGUUGACAGCUUUCCAUGAAUGGCUUUCUGGGUUGUAAGAGGGUCCCUUCAGAGUCCUGAAGAAAAUCUUUUCCUUUGAAAUAUACAAGUCUUGACUAUGGGCUGGGUCUCAGAAAGCUCCCCAUCUUUUAAUAUAUUCACAAAGGCCAUGUGCUAACAACUAGUUUUCAUUGUGCCUGCACUUUAAUGCAACUAAGAGAAUCAGCUAGCAGAGAUAUAACAAUUGUCACAGCAGUUUCCAGGUUUCUUCAGGGAAUUUCUUCCAUAUGUUGGGAUCAUCUUCCUUGGAGGAACUUCUGGCAGUUUGCUGCUGCAGGUGAGAGUUGGCUUCUGGAGGCUUUUGCUUCUAUCAGCUCUGACAGUCAGCUGUUGGCAGUUCCUGGAUUUGGGGGUGCCUACACUUCUUGUUUCCAACUGGCUGCUGCCCAGGGACUGUCAAACACCUCUUCAGCUGGUGCAUGGGGAGCAGCUAUAAAACCAGUGGGAAGAAGAAUGGAUCAUACCAGUGCUGCAGAUGCUACAGCUAUUACUGCAAAGAAGUCUAGAAACUCUGCUGAAAAGUCCUUGAGCCUGCUCAUCUAUGGUGUCAGCUUGCCAAAGGGAACAGUCUCCAGCACCUGGUCUUCUGAGGAUAUCUGAGGCCUUGACCCAGAGAGAGAUCUGGGAAAACUAUGCAGCCUUUGGCUGCAGGCAGUGCCUGGUGCGCCUCUCAAGAGUUGGGCUGAGUGUGUCCUUACAUCUGGGAGGCGGUUUGCAGGCAAAACACUGAAUUACCAGGUGAAGAAGCUGUGAGAGGAAAUGAGCUGACUGCAUAGUACCAGAGUAUAUGAACAGAAUAUUGAUGGGGUCUUUAGAGAGACAGCACAGAAACAAGAGCCCAAGCUCCAUAAUGGAUGCAAGGAAGGACAGCUAGAGACUGUGCUCAGAGGAGGAGUGUAUGGACUACCAUGGUGAAGAAUGCCGCAAAUGUACGGCUUAUGUCAGCAGGAGGAAGUCUUCUGCCUGCACAGCUGCAGUUAUUGAACAGGCACAAUGCCCUGGGAACAGACAAGGAGGGACAAAAAUAGUCAGGGCAGGCGUCAGAGCUAGACGAGCCUGAAAUAGGGUCUGCAUGAAGGGGAAAAAGUGAGUGAGAGCAAUCCAGCAGGCUUCAAGAGUGUGUUGAGGACAAUAUACGCGGGUGGUCAAUGAGCCAAGCAGAGGAGAUACUCUGCUGGACAUGUUAAUCACAAACAAGGAAGAGCUAGUCAAAAAUACCAAAAUCAAAGACAGCCUUGGCAGCAGUGACUGUCAAACUUCCUGAGAAAAGUUAGCAAAACAGAUAGUAGAGUCAUAGUCCUGGACUUCAGUAGAGCGGGAUUCAGCUUUUUGAGGGCUCUGCUUGGUAAGAGUUCUGGAGGACCAAGGGACAGAGAAGACGUGACUAAUCUUCUAUGGCAACCUCCACAAAACACAAGCGUGAUUGAUUCCAGUGUGCAUGUGUAGCAGAAGGCCUGCGUGGAUGAACAGGAAACUCCUGACUUAGCUCUCCUAUAGAAAGGAUGUACAUAGAAGGUUCAAGAGCAGAUAGGCUACCCAGGAGAAUUGCAGGCACGUUGUCUGAGUGUGCAUGGACAAGGUUAGGAAACCAGGGCUCAGGUACACGAAGGGCAACAGCAGAGCUUCUGUAAGCAAGAAACAAGAAAGGCAACAAUAGUGCUUCUGGCAGCAAAAAGAAGAUGGAAAAAAAAAAAAAAGCACAACUUAAUGAGGCAGUUGAUUAAUUCUCAGGGCUCUUACUGCACCCAUAAGCCUUAAUUGCUCUGACCAGCCCCAUAUAUGACACCCAUCCACACUCUUCUCACAGGCCCAGGAGCACAGCCUUGCUCUGAGCUGUGCCAUCAGCAGGCGUCUUUUUCAAUCUUGUUCUGUGCUGCCUUGGCUUACUGGCUUCAUGGACCCCAGAUCUACAUUCUAAAUAGUCUGUUUUCCAGGCCUGGUCCUGUCUCCUGGCUGACUCAGGGGUGUGUUACAGGUAGCUUGUCUCUAGUCUGGCCUAUUUGCUGCUGUUCCUGACUUGGUGUCCUGGACACUGUCCCUGCAUAUAACUUGUUAUCUCGAUUUUUCUGAGUCUUUUGGCAGAAUCUGCUGCUGCUACCAACUUGCCCAUACUCAGGUACAGUGAGAUUGUAUGGGUUUAUCCAGGGCAAUUUAUGACUAUCCAGUUUAUUUAUCUUAUGUGAUGAGGUCAUGGGCUGCUGUGUAGGCAGGGGGACAACAGUGGAUGUUGUUUACCUUGACUAUUACUUGUUAAAUAUUCAUUUCACUACUGAUUUUUUUCUGUGAUGAAAGAUCCAUUUCACUUGCUCUUUUUUUGUGGCUAUGCACAGUGUGUGCAAACAAAUAGAGAAGAAAAAUGAUUGGUUAAUUUUAAUUCUUGUAGGUAUGUUUGUUAAUUAGAAAUAAUAUAAUUAGAUCACAGUAGAUUUAUCUGAGUGUUGACUGGUUAUAGAUAUAUGCAGGACUGCUUCCCUUUUUAAAAUAAACUGUUCUAGUAAAAAAAAAAUGUGGACUGAUUUAUUCUGUUUCCAUUUUUUGUCUGUUUGUUGAGGAAAGAGAGUUUUGCACUGAUGAUUUGAGAGUAUAAAGAAGAUUGUAGUAAAAAACCUGAGGUUAUUAGCAAUACCCUAGACUCUUUAUUUUUCGCUGCACUCUGAAGGAAGGCUUUAAGGUAUUGUUAAGGACAACAAUGCAACAAAUAAUGCCAGUCAUAUCUGCACUGUAAUUUCUGACAUCAUUCUAGACAGCUGUUUUAUGGUAAAUUAAAAACAUGAGCAGUAUAUUUUACAUUUACCAGCACUGAAGCUUAAGAUCAGGUUAUUCUCUUAUUCCUGUGGCUGUUUUCUUGUGAGGACAUGUUUACCCAUGCGUUUUAUACCACUGUUUUUUUGCUUGCUUGUUCGAUUUUCUAGCAGAACAUGUCUUCCAUGUAUGUGCUUUCUGACUGCGCACACAAGUGGGAACUCACAAGGCUUUGUGGCAACACUUGAUGAUUUGUUACUCACUGUCAAGAUCUGGGCAGAUCCAGGAAAAAAAAAAAAAAGUCUGUGGCUUCAUGUUUUCUGCUACUGUAGUUUGCAUUUUCUGUGUCUUAACUAUUUCAAGUAGAAGUGAUUAUUUGCAGAUUUUAACUUCUGGGAGCGUUAUCCUCUGAAUGAUUACUGUGAUAUCUACCUUAGGCAGUAAGUAAGUAAGGGGUGUGGGGAAAACAUCCUUCUAAGGAGUUUGUGUUAUAAAUCACCAACAAGUCUGGUAUUUGCCCUAUGAACUCCUUACUGCUCUUCCAGAGACCUCCCUUUAAUUUCAUAAUAUCUAACUUCUAAAUAAUUUUCUUUCAAAAACAGAUGCAGGGUAAGGAGGAAAAGAAUGAUAAUUUUCUUCUUAAGACCUGUACAACAGAAAGGCAAAGUUUUCCCAGCCCUUAUCAUAUGAUAUAAUGAGAAAAUGAUUGUGAGCAUUUUGCUGUGGAAACAGAAAGGUUGUAUUGGCUCCUCAGGAUUUCUUUGUCUGUCAUGCAGAUGGGAGAAAAAUGUGGAAUUUGUCACGGACGCUAUCUGAACUACCUGAUCUCUAAUAUCUGUUAGGUUCUGAGAUACUGUACUCUUUGUCAGCUUCCAUAGUUAAUGGCAAAGAUUCCCAAGCAGACUCAUUAAAGCUCUUUUGCCUCAUUUAAAAACUAAGUUUAUAAGAAAAUGAAGAUUGAAGAAUUUUCUACAUACUUCUUGGCAUCCUACUUACCUACAUGAGCCAGCAGCUGUAUGGAAAUCUCUUGAACCUCUGUAGUUAGUAAUCAUCAACCAUUGUACCUCAAACACUUAGACUUUAAAUGUGUCCUUCUGGAUAUAUCUUCCUCUAUUGGAAUAGCCAGUAUACAAUACAAGACAAAAGGAGGGAAACUGAUGGAAACUAUUCAUGCUGGUUGACCUCAGCCACACCAGUCUUCUGCACUCCUAUUAUGAGCUGUUAUUCAGGAAGGCUGUGUGCUGUCACAUAACUUUCUAUAGAACCUCCUUUUCUACCAUAAGGAAUAGAGGAAGGGUGUGUUACUGUGUUUUGAUUUGGGGUUUUUUUAUUCUCCAAUAUGAAAAUUAUUUUCUCCACUUUUGUGAAAGUUUUCAUUCAGUGACACAGACUUAGAACUGUUAACUUGUUCUCAAUAAUUCUAAAUCUGUCCAAGGACACUUAUUAUUUUACUAUUGGUAGGAAGCAAGUGCUCUGAGCAAUCUGUUUCCACCUCACAGAUUUCCCAAAUUCUUAAUUGGCACAAAGCCAUAUUAAUGGGAGACUUUUGUAUUUGUAGUAACAUGAAUACUGUUGAGCCUUCUUAUGUUGCUGCAAAAUAGAAAUGCUUUUGAAAUCAGAAAAGUAUUCUUCUGUUUGAAUUUGACAACACUAUGUCUAUCUAGAUAUUCAGCAUGAAGAAUUAAAUUAAGGUUAAAUAGACAGAUACCCAAGAGAUGGUAGAUUGUGUGAACAUCACAAGGAAUGGUCAAAUGUAGACAGACACACCUCUUCUCUGAAAGAAAGAACCCUAGCUACCAAAGGCAGGGAGGUGGGGAUGACACACAGUUGUAUUUAAGGCAGGGGUGCAGCUAUAUCAGUGCAUCUAGCACAUCACUGUUUUUUGGUUUUGUUUGUUUGUUUGUUUUUUUUUCAUAAGACACAGCUAAACACUAGGCAGAGAAUAUAAGGAACAUGUUUGCAUAGAACGGGUAGGAAUAAUUAGGUGCUAAAACCUCUUUUGAGCUGGGAAACUACAGAAUUGCGAAUAAUCACAAAUGACUUUCUGAAAUAGAUUUCCAAAUAGGAAUAGAGAGGCCCUAAGAAAACCCAACCAACCAAACUAAAAACUCAACACCCAAAAAAACCCAACACACCACAAUGAAUAACAUUUGAUGGACCACAGGUCCUUUAAUGAACAAGUUUUAUUCUGAUGCCCCUUAUAACAAGAGGCUAGAUUUGGUGACCUAGAGGAUCACUUUGCUCAGAACUUUAAGAUGACCUCAUACAUAGUCUUCAUAAAAACAUGAUGAAAUUAUCCCUUAGAAAGGUAUUUCUUGCAGAAAGAAAAAGUUAUUUUGAUAGAGUAUGGGACAAAUCAGGUCUCAGUCCAUCUGUCUUUAAGUCACUGCUACAGGUUACCUCCAACAUAAUUUUAAUUCAUAAUUAGGAAUAUAUUAUCCUGACAUUACCUGACAAAGACUUACUAUUUUGUUAACGCACUUUCGUUCAGUUACUACUGCCUGUUUCACAAAGAAAUACAAAUUGAGGGUGAUUAUAUUAUGGGGCUAGCUCCAUAACUGAAGCUGAAUUAUAGUAGAAAAAGCCUCCUGAAAUGUCCAUGGUAUUUUUUUUAAUUCCCAAAUAUGUUUUUUUUUAAUCUAUUUCCCUGUUAUUACAUUUUUACCAGUUACCUUUUUCCUUUCCUCAUUGUGGACUACUUGUGGCUUAUAGAGAACACUGAAAAAAAUCAGGUGUUUUUUUUUUUAAUAGUUUAUUUAUAGACUUGGUUUGAUGUCAGGCUGCAAAUUGUGGAUGUAACUCACUAAAACACUCUAUCUGGAUUGUGACAGUAGGAGAUUUCAGAUCACUGGCUACUGGAGGUCCACGCUUUCCAGUCCACUUGUUUUAUUUUUUUCCCCUUUCUCCUCAUAGCAAUCUAAUAGCUGAUACAUCGUGAUGCUUAGAAAAGGAAUUAGUAGGUACAUUAAAACUUGCAGUAUAAAUAGCACAAUAUAAAAUAAGAUAAUGCUCCAGAGAAAUUCAUAUCCCCAAGCUUCCUAAUUACUAUAACUAUGAAGAUAUCUCCUUCAGCAGCUUCCACUGGCUCGAAGAGGUCAUAGGGGAAUCAACUGGUGCUAUUUUUAAAAGUCUGCAAUUACAACCUCCUUCUACCUAAUCAUCGAUUACAUCAUCAGCAUUCUGCCCACUGUCUACACAAGAACAUUUUCCAACUCUGGUGUUAUAAUAGCUGGUAGUAAAAGAAACUUCAAAUCAAAAAGGGUCAGAGGAACUUAAAGCUAUGGCUACUUAUAACACAUUAAAAUUUCUGCAUGUAUUGGAGACGUGCUGCAUCUGGAAUUCCAAUUUCAUUUUUUUAAUAUUUUUUUUAAACUUCAGUUUCAUGUAAAUUAAUGUCACAAAAGAUAUCACCAAAAGUAAUUUUUAGGAGUUAAUAUUAAGUAGGUGAUUUCAAGGAUUUCUAGCAAAAGGGGUUUUUGAUGUUCUGUUUGUUUUUUGUUUUGUUUGUUUGUUUUUUUCUUUCCUGAGUUCUUCUCUGAAAGAUGUUGGUUUCCUUUUUUUUUUUUUUUCUAAUCAGGCUUAGUAUUUUAUUGCCAAGCAUUCUUCAUUUUACUGUUGGAGAUUUACAGAUGUUUUGUACUUUGCUCACAUGAUGACCUAUAAAAAUGCUUACAAGGUAUUCUUUUAAUAUAACAUGAUAAUACAAAUGAAAGAUCUCUUACAGUGUGUCUGAGAUUUGCUUUUACUUCUUUUUAAAGUAUUUUAUCAUGUCUUAUAUUUUUCCUAGUCUGAUUUAAAGAAAAUUAAUCAUUUGGAGAAAGUGAGCAAACAACUCCUUACGUUGCAUUCAAAGCCAUUGUAUUUAACAUACUUAAAAUGCACAGUCUGUUUAAGAUUUGCAUUGUUUAUGGUUCAAUAAACAGAAAAUAAGCCUGUAAGAUUUUUCUUUUUUUGACAACUUCACAGGGUUCUGCUGCUUAUAAGCAUAGGCUGAAGUACACAGUAAAAGUCUAGCAUCCCUACUUGGCAAAUUCUAAUACUGAAAUAAAAUGGUGAUGUGAAUAUAUGAACUAAGUAUUAAAAACAAGAUGAAACCACUAAUUACUUAGGGCUACUUAGGAACUUCUGAGGUUAGAGCAGUUUUUGAUUUUGUUUUGUUUUUUUCCCAAUAAAAUGAUACUGUACCAGUUCAGGGUUUAUUGAAUAGUAAGAAUGUUAUUCACUUUAAUACAGGUCUUUACACCUUAAAAAACGUAAAAAGGAAACAAACAAAACCAACCAAAAAACAACACCAAAACCCACACAAACCCUCCCC
Molecule: long non-coding RNA, 22106 nt
Organism: Columba livia (rock pigeon)
Lineage: Eukaryota; Metazoa; Chordata; Aves; Columbiformes; Columbidae
Exons: 6
Source: RefSeq, a predicted model, not a curated record